AUUGAACGCUGGCGGCAUGCCUUACACAUGCAAGUCGAACGGCAGCGCGGGGCAACCUGGCGGCGAGUGGCGAACGGGUGAGUAAAAUAUCGGAACAUACCCUAGAGUGGGGGAUAACGUAGCGAAAGUUACGCUAAUACCGCAUACGCACUAAGGUGGAAAGUGGGGGAUCUUCGGACCUCAUGCUCAUGGAGUGGCCGAUAUCUGAUUAGCUAGUUGGUGAGGUAAAGGCUCACCAAGGCGACGAUCAGUAGCUGGUUUGAGAGAACGACCAGCCACACUGGAACUGAGACACGGUCCAGACUCCUACGGGAGGCAGCAGUGGGGAAUUUUGGACAAUGGGGGGCAACCCUGAUCCAGCAAUGCGCGUGAGUGAAGAAGGA
RNAcentral lists this ribosomal RNA (383 nucleotides) under uncultured bacterium. RNAcentral describes it as "bacterial SSU rRNA". It matches the Rfam family "Bacterial small subunit ribosomal RNA", at positions 30 to 415 of the family's 1533-position model. The record is from RNAcentral.